Molecule: long non-coding RNA, 2222 nt
Organism: Papaver somniferum (opium poppy)
Lineage: Eukaryota; Viridiplantae; Streptophyta; Magnoliopsida; Ranunculales; Papaveraceae
Exons: 3
Source: RefSeq, a predicted model, not a curated record
AAAAAAAAACUAAUCUCAAAAACCUAAUUCUCAUCUCAUCAUUCCUAAAUCUCUGAAAAAUAUGGUAAAAAGAGUUCGAAUUGUAGUAUUAAUGAGAGACUAAGCACGUCGCAUAAUCGAUAUUUAGGUACAAAGAGAAUCAGGAAUGCAAAAUCCACUUUUUUUUACCUUUUAGGGUUUCUAAAUUCCUGAUUUGGGUAAUCGAUCGAUACAUAAUUGGUUAUGGAUUUGGUCCUAUUUCGCAGCAGAUUCAUUUUCCUAAAGGGUUUAAGAAAUAUUGUGUUAAACUGGAGCCUAUGAUAUGUAUAGAUUAGUGUUUGGUAUUAUGGUUUCUCUCUUGCGGAAUGUACCAGAAAAAAAAAAAACGUAUGAUUUUUCCACUCUGUCCAUAGUUUGUACAAAUUGUCAUGAUGGAUUAAUCAUUCUUAGGUUGCCAGCUAGACAAAACAUGCUAGCAUCUGUUUUGUUUUGUUAGAUUCAAAAAGUUGCGCAUCACAUCCAAAUUUUUGCAUUAUAUUUGUAAAUUGAUAAUGAAUACUAAUGAAUGUCCAGACAAAAAUUGAACCAACUUACAUUGUUGACAUUGGUGUGCUUAUUCUGGAUACAUAUAUUAAUCUUUGGAUGGCAAAUAAAUGCCCGGCAUCGAACCAGCUUAUAUCUUUUAUUAUAGGUUUCGGGGGUAACAAAUAAGAGGCAAGAUGCACACAAGUACAAGAGAAAAAGAAAUUGUGUCUAUCCGAGGUAUGAUAUUCUUAAUGUUGUAACUUAAAGAACUAUGGCGUCCUUCUUUCCUAGAUGUUGAGCUCCAUGCAUGGCUUGACCUCUGGAUAGUGAAAACCUAUGGGGUGAGAACCCCAUGGUACACCACAAUGGAAAACGAAAUUGUGUCUGUACGAGGUAUGAUAUUCUUAAUGUUGUAACUUAAAGAACUAUGACGUCCUUCUUUCCUAGAUAUUGAGCUCCAUGCAUGGCUUGACCUCUGGAUAGUGAAAACCUAUGGGGUGAGAACCCCAUGGUACACCACAAUGGAGGAAUGCAGCACGGACGGGGUUGUAGCAAGCAAAGGUACUGCUCAAUCUCCAUGAACUAAAUUUUAUUUGUGGGUCCUUGGACAACAUUGUGAAUUAUAAAUACACAUAUGCAGCUCGAUGGUUUGUUGAAAUGCAUCAUUAGUAAAUAUACAUAAAACUCGACGAUUGAAAGGUCAUGAUGACGAGCAUAAGGUAUAAAAGCUAUGUUGGUUAACUUUAUUGUUAUGAACUGUGUUCUUUAUAUACAAGUAUGUGGAAAAUACUUAGUCCCAAGAUAUUUAAAAGUAUUCACUCAUUAGUGAGUCUUAGUUGUAAGUCAGUUACACAGCUUUUGCUUAGUUGUUGCUACUUAUUUGCAUAAGACAGGGUCCAUGAUGUUAAUAUUUGCUUGGAUACAAGGUGUGUCAACGGUUGAAUCAACUGUCAGGAGUUUUACACUCUAAUUUUGUCAAAAGUGGAAGGCUCUUCAGGACUUUGUUUCUGAAGAGAGGCAAGAUGAAGAGCAGAAAGUCCUGUUGCGGAUGGGAUCUAAAUUUUGACUUGAAUAACAAGUCAACAACUCAACGUAGGGAAACGAUGCAGCUCGAUGAUGAAACAAAGCCACAAGAAUAUGGUGAACACAAUGGCCAAUGCGAUUGCACAAAUACAGGAGAAGCCGGUGGGAAAACUAGAACGGCAUAUAUUUUGACUUCAGAAGUAGUUGGAAGCUGGGAAUUUAGCACGACCUCAGUUCACGGGGAGAAUGAAAAUGAACGGAGGGGAGUUAGAGAUACAGUUGGAAGUGGCAAUGAAUCUUAAGAAGAUGGCCAGGAUGUGGGGAGUCAGAUUGGGGGUUCAGCUGCUGCUCUUGGCGCCUCUUGCUAUUUGAACAAGUUUGAACCAGGAGUGUUAUGCUCUAAAUGAUAGUGCCCAAAUUGUAGCUCCUGAAUUUAACCAAAACAUCUCCGAUGGUGGUGGUAUUGGUUCAGGUCUAACAAGGGAAAUGGGUGAUGAAGGAUCUAAUGCAGACCAUGAAGACGGAAGUAAUCACGACUGUGACACUAAUGUAGGAGUUGAUCACGCAUGAGUGAGCAAAACGACGAUCCACUAUUUAAAUGACGUUGAUGUUACUAAAGACGAUUCUGUAGGAUAAGUUGACAACAAUUUUUUUUAUAAAAAAAAGAUGUAGCCAUGUAAAUAUGAGUUAGAGUU